RNAcentral lists this long non-coding RNA (678 nucleotides) under Sus scrofa (pig). RNAcentral's name for it is "lncRNA (ENSSSCG00070020211.1)". The record is from RNAcentral. Lineage: Eukaryota; Metazoa; Chordata; Mammalia; Artiodactyla; Suidae.
CAGAUGCCACUGACCCAGCCCGUGAAAUGCACAUACAGAGUGGUAUUGGAGAAGCAAAUAGGUACCUGUUUGACAACUCUUACAAUCUUUCCUGUGGCAGAGAUGACUGACAAUGCCAGCUCUGCAAUUCCAAGUUAACUUCUGAUUUUGAAACAUCACUGGCAGAUAUGAAAGUAAAAUAAAGUAAAAGAAGAAAAAGUGAAGCAAUGGAAAAAUCUCCCCUGGCUCACAGUGUUGAAGAGAAGGUAUUUCCAAACCUCAAGAUGUGUUUUUGAACUUUCUUUUAUGAGGAAGAGAGACCAUCUACCACUGUUGUGGAGAGCACUUCAUAAGGAAAAUAAAUUUCUCUGGAAGAGCAUGGAGCCAAGCAGAUGCUUACAAGCACCUGUGUCACAUGAGGAAGAGGAUGUCCCAGAGGAAACAGACAUGAUGCCUUCUCUUUUCACAGCCUUUGCUUUGGGGCACAGGGACACAAGCCACUCUGCUGGAUUAAGUUAAUUAAAUAGGAAGACAAGCUAUCUUCCCCCACAGUAAACCUUGGGAAACUGAGAGGAAAUACCACAACUGGUUGCUGCCAUGUGCAGCACAAUCAAGCUCAAUUUUGAAAGCACAUCAUCACUAACUUUCACAAAAGAUAAUUACCAGUGCUUGAAUAAAACUGUCAGGUUUGGAGUUCCA